RNAcentral lists this non-coding RNA (23 nucleotides) under Arabidopsis thaliana (thale cress). The record is from RNAcentral. Lineage: Eukaryota; Viridiplantae; Streptophyta; Magnoliopsida; Brassicales; Brassicaceae.
GCGGAUCUCGCCUUAUUUACGUC